GAGUUCAUAGCUCAGUGGUACAGCAUCUGCCUUGUGUGCAGAAGCUCCAAGGUUCAAUUCCUGGCAUUCUGGGUAGGGCU
This is a non-coding RNA of Podarcis lilfordi (Lilford's wall lizard), 80 nucleotides long. Lineage: Eukaryota; Metazoa; Chordata; Lepidosauria; Squamata; Lacertidae. The record is from the annotation of a GenBank genome assembly.